Molecule: ribosomal RNA, 253 nt
Filed under: uncultured bacterium
Lineage: Bacteria
Description: partial 16S ribosomal RNA
Rfam family: Bacterial small subunit ribosomal RNA
Source: RNAcentral
GACGGGGGGGGCAAGCGUUGUUCGGAAUUACUGGGCGUAAAGGGCUCGUAGGCGGCCAACUAAGUCAUACGUGAAAUCCCUCGGCUUAACCGGGGAACUGCGUCUGAUACUGGAUGGCUUGAGUUCGGGAGAGGGAUGCGGAAUUCCAGGUGUAGCGGUGAAAUGCGUAGAUAUCUGGAGGAACACCGGUGGCGAAGGCGGCAUCCUGGACCGAUACUGACGCUGAUGAGCGAAAGCCAGGGGAGCAAACGGG